UAUUAAUGUAUUGUUUACAUUAAAUGAAGAGUCAAGAUAUUCAUAUUCUGAUGUUAUUUUGGCUAGUAGAGUUGGAAGAGUAUACAUAGAAAUGUCUACAGACCUGAAUUUCAAAUGUCAUCAAUAAUUACUGUGGAGAAGGGCUAUUUUUAUUAUUGUUGUUAUUAGUAGUAACUGUUUUAAUAGUUCAUUUUAAAAUCAGGCUUUGUGUUCUCUUCUUAAUUUAUUGUAGACAUAUCCCAGUCAAGAGCCAAGAGACCCAAACAGGCACUUCUGAAGGUGUUCCCUCGGACCCUCAUUGGCGAUUGAAGACAGAGCUUCAUGAAAGAGUGGCUCACACCUGCAAGAAGGUCUGCAGUCCAGAUGUGGCGGAUAUGAGUCAUUCAGAGCCCUGGCAUUGGCUACACUGCUGGACCCAAGAUUCAAAAUUGUGGCUUUUGGAAAUCCUGCCAAUGCCAAGGAAGCUGAAAAGCACCUCAAGUCAAGUCACUUUUAUAUAGCGCUUUAAACAAAACAGAUUGUGUCAAAGCAACUGAACAACAUUAAUUAGGAAAACAGUGUGUCCACCUCACACUGGAGUGCGCUCCGCUGAUGCGUUCAAACCCACCAACUCAUGAGCCACAAUUGUCAGCAUCAGGUCUAUCAUCAACAACAACACCAGCAGAAAGCCAGGACUGUUUAUGGGACCAUUUUCAUAAUCUUGUCUGUGAAUCCCACACAACACACAGUGCUACAGCUGAUGCCACAGUGGAAGUGAAAAAGUACUUCACAGAUGGAUUUUUGUCCAGAACAGAUGAUCUCCUAAAGUACUGGAAGGAGAGAGCAGUAAUUUUUCCUAAUCCGUACGUUUUAGCUCAAAAGUAUAUGUGAAUGCCAGCGACAAGUGUCCCUUGUGAGAGAUUUUUUUUUUUUUUUUUGAAAGGCUGGAGAAAUUAUAUGUAAAAAAAAAAGUAGGCUAUGUCCAUCAACAGCAAAACAAAUUAAUAUUUGUACAUAAAAAUAAUACAAAUAAAAUAAAGUCAGACAUUGUGGCUUGAUGUCUUUUAUUAAUGUUUUUCAUGACCAAAACAUUGGUCUGACAUCUGAAUUCUUAAAUCUUUGUGAAUAAAUUUGUGUGAAUAAAUGUUACAACACAUUACAAGAACAAAACAAUAAAAACAUGUUUAUUAUAAUUAUAUGAAUGCUUCACUCAGGAUUUGAACCCAAGGUGACAAGAACACUAACCACUCCCCCAAAUCACUCAGUGAAUCAA
This is a long non-coding RNA of Cyprinus carpio (common carp), 1252 nucleotides long. RefSeq lists it as uncharacterized. The record is from RefSeq and is a predicted model, not a curated record. NCBI's taxonomy places the organism in Eukaryota, Metazoa, Chordata, Actinopteri, Cypriniformes, Cyprinidae. The transcript has 3 exons.